RNAcentral lists this ribosomal RNA (300 nucleotides) under Triticum aestivum (bread wheat). RNAcentral describes it as "partial small subunit ribosomal RNA". Lineage: Eukaryota; Viridiplantae; Streptophyta; Magnoliopsida; Poales; Poaceae. The record is from RNAcentral.
AUGAAUUUUUGGACAGAGGGUAUUCACAGAGUGUCAAAACUGAAUCUACGUAUAAUGUCAGACUCCGACAAAAUUGACGCAAGAAGUUCUUGGAGUGGAUCAGAUAAGGAUGAAACUGAAGCUUUUUUAGAUGCUAUGAACUUCAGGUAUUGUCUACUCCAAUGUGGUCAACAUUUCUUAAAGGUGCAACUUCUUCCAUCAAUGUGGAUGAUUUGGUCACACUUGCAAACAAGGUCUCUUUGUAUACUGGAUGCUCCCAUUGCAGCUAGUCUUAUACUCCCUCUUCCUCUUCAUCCCUAA